CUUCAAGCUGCCUUGACCUCUCCAGCAUGAUGGACUGCACUUUGAGUUAGCUAGACAAGGAACGCAGCGCUCAGUCAGCACCCUUCCCUGCUCACAACAGCUGGGCGUUCUGUGGGUCUGAGCAUACGCACCACCAACCGCCGUCUCAGCCUCGAUGACACCACCGUCUGAAUCUGCCGAGUUUCAUCAGAUCUAGCUCAUUCUUGUAGCUUCAGCGCUGGCCUUGAUCCACGCACGCCCUCACCGUCGUCUGCUGCCACAUAGGGAAGGGGUUCCAUCUGCGGUCACCCGGCCCUAUGCACUUGAGCAGAACAGCAAGGCUGUGGUGUGGUGAGGGGUUUCUUGGCCUUGUGAUGGACGGGAAGCAGAGUGGAGCCCCAACGGGAAGGGCAAGAUGCAGCCCCCAGACUCCCCCAUGACCCACUUCCUCCCGCCAGACCCCACCUCCCCGAGUCCCACCACUCGUUGCAUAUGACUGUGACUGUCCUCCGACAGACAGAUGCCAUCUUCCCAAGACUGGUUGUACCUGCCUAAGAUAGUCACAGCUGAGCUUGUCAACCGUUCACCACCCAGCAAGGAAGGGAAGGGUAAAGGAGAGUCACUGGACCCUUGAUUCCACACCUCCCAACCAACCAGCCGGCCCUACAUGUGGUGUGGCAUGACGUGGGGAAGGAGCCAAGGGUAUAUAAGCUGGGGAGGCCUAGGGAGAGGGUCUUGCCAUUUUAUGCAGCUGUGAGGACGCCACCAUUCGAGCUUGGAUUAAGACUUUCCAGUGCAUCCUUGGGGUGGAGAGACCCACACUCCUGCAGGUCAGC
Molecule: long non-coding RNA, 815 nt
Organism: Nannospalax galili (Upper Galilee mountains blind mole rat)
Lineage: Eukaryota; Metazoa; Chordata; Mammalia; Rodentia; Spalacidae
Exons: 3
Source: RefSeq, a predicted model, not a curated record